AUGUAAUAACCCUUUAUAUUUAUCUCUUUUGAUUUCAGGAUGCUUACAAAGACUGGCUCUGUGCAACCCAGCUUGCAUACUACCAUGAGUAUAAGCGUAUUAAACCUUGUCGAGACCACUGCCUACGUGUACUCAAGAAAUGCCCCUAUCUCUUACCACACAAGCAAUACUGUGGCCAGAGGUCAUUUCUAUGUCCAGAGGAGCGCGAUCUGGGUGGAAACGCCACGUACGGUUCCUCCAAGAAAACCUGUAUGGACUGCUUGCUCAAGGACGACAAAUGCGCAAACGGGACGCGGAUUCGACCCAGCUCGUCAUCGGCCCGCGGCACAAUCCACAGUAUUCCAGUCGUAACAGUCUACCUAAUGGGCUGUUUCGUAGCAAUGACACUAGCCAGGACUUUAUGUGGGCAGGUCAUCUCAUGAGAUCAGAAACAACCAAAAAAAAAAAAGGAAAAAAGAAGAAAAACUCGGGAGAGGUGGAUACGCUCUCCAUCUAGAGAGACAUGUGGAUAUUGCUGGAGAAGAAUAAAACACAGAGAUGAACUGUGUUAGAGAUUGAAACUCCAGGAAAUACAAACCUUUAACACACAAACUAACCAGAGGCUAAUAUUCAUGUGUAUUGUGCUUUGGUGUUUGAAAAAAAAAAGAUGGAAAAGAUAUUAUUACGUGCGGUGAUUAUACGUGCUUGUUUAUGUCAUCAAUCGCUACCGAUUACUACUACUACUACUUACUACUACAGUGGAACUUCUGCUUGUUCGAUGUUCAUCAUGAAUUGCUCUCCCCCCGGUUUGUAGUGAAGAUCCGCGUACAGUACAACAGCCAACCCCCUUUUUAAAGUGACUUUACAACCUUUUUUUUAUUAGUUAUCCAAGAAUGGAAUAUGUACUUGGUUUGUAUACAUGUGUGGGGGAAAGACAGGAAUGUAUAUCUAGGGUGUGUGUGGUUGGGUGUGUGUGUGUGUGUUUAGUCCUGUACAACACUGGUAUAAGCAUCAAAUGAGGCACUUUUCACCCCUAAAUCAAGCUCCUAAUUGAAACCAAUUUCAAAGUAAACAUGAAGAUAUGACAGGUUUACUGCACAGUGGCGCAAAUGGUGUUGAUCCUUUUCGUGGGCCUCAAAUCUCGCAAACUUAGGCAAAAAAAAAAUGCAAUUUCAUGUUUAACUUGAAAAUGAGUAGAAACUACAAGCCAACGCGACUGCUAUGCACCUGAAAUUUUUGCAUGGGAAAUCUGAAUUUUGAUUUUUGUAGCAGAGAGAUAUCAACCUCAAGAAAAUCUUCAAAGGAAAAAGGUUUCUGAAGCUGUGGAUAUCAGAUCCACCAUGCUUCAGUGGCUUGAAACAGUUAUAGGGCGCAUGGAAUGAAAUCAAACUACGUUCAGAUGCCACUAUUCUAUGGGUCUUAAGUAAACCAAGAAAGACUUCAGGAUGCGCUAAAAAAUUGUAUGAUUGAGCAAGAAAAUGUGCUAGUUCUGGUAACGUGCACACCUUGAAUCGUUCGGUGCUAUGAGAUUGUUAUUAUGGCUGGGCGCUGGAAGACAAAAGAUGGGUAAUUGGGUAUGCCAACCCAAACUGGGGUUUCAACGUAUGAAUGUAUCAAUGAUUUGAGUACCCUUUUCAUCUCAUUGGGUGUUGAAUCAAAAGAAAAUCAAAUGACUUCACCGGCCGUGAUUACCUCUCAGAUAUAGAGAAAAUGAAAAUUUAUCAGAUGAUGAUUAGAGAUUGUGAUAUAUUCUUCUAAAGAGUGGAUUGGAGAAUGAACAUGAAAUCAUUCCAAGAAAUGAAUGGGUAUUUUU
Molecule: long non-coding RNA, 1792 nt
Filed under: Lytechinus variegatus (green sea urchin)
Lineage: Eukaryota; Metazoa; Echinodermata; Echinoidea; Temnopleuroida; Toxopneustidae
Description: uncharacterized LOC121429967
Source: RNAcentral